Molecule: unclassified non-coding RNA, 192 nt
Filed under: uncultured Gloeocystidiellum
Lineage: Eukaryota; Fungi; Basidiomycota; Agaricomycetes; Russulales
Description: sequence contains ITS2
Source: RNAcentral
AAUUCUCAACUCUGUCUUUCUUUUUGAAAGACUGAGCUUGGAUGUGGAGGCUUGCCGGUCCCGCUCGGGUCGGCUCCUCUCGAAUGCAUUAGUGAGACCCCUUGCGGCCUCGGUGUGAUAAUUGUCUACGCCGUGGCUUAGCUGUCGUGGGCUUUGCUUCCAACCGUCUCCUCGGAGACACUUCAUCGAAAC